RNAcentral lists this ribosomal RNA (460 nucleotides) under uncultured bacterium. RNAcentral describes it as "partial 16S ribosomal RNA". It matches the Rfam family "Bacterial small subunit ribosomal RNA", at positions 338 to 795 of the family's 1533-position model. The record is from RNAcentral.
CCUACGGGAGGCAGCAGUGAGGAAUAUUGGUCAAUGGACGAGAGUCUGAACCAGCCAAGUAGCGUGAAGGAUGACUGCCCUAUGGGUUGUAAACUUCUUUUAUAUGGGAGUAAAAUGUUCCACGUGUGGGAUUUUGUAUGUACCAUAUGAAUAAGGAUCGGCUAACUCCGUGCCAGCACCCGCGGUAAUACGGAGGAUCCGAGCGUUAUCCGGAUUUAUGGGGUUUAAAGGGAGCGUAGGUGGAUUGUUAAGUCAGUUGUGAAAGUUUGAGGCUCAACCGGAAAAUUGCAGUUGAAACUGGCAGUCUUGAGUACAGUAGAGGUGGGUGGAAUUCGUGGUGUAGCGGUGAAAUGCUUAGAGAUCACGAAGAACGCCGAUUGCGAAGGCAGCUCACUGGACUGCAACUGACACUGAGGCUCGAAAGUGUGGGUAUCAAACAGGAUUAGAUACCCCAGUAGUC